RNAcentral lists this ribosomal RNA (509 nucleotides) under uncultured bacterium. Its description in RNAcentral is "partial 16S ribosomal RNA". The record is from RNAcentral.
GGAGUUAGCCGGUGCUUCUUCUGUGAGUGAUGUCCUUCCUGCCGGUUAUUGACCCGCAGGCCUUCUUCCUCACUGAAAGUGCUUUACAACCCGAAGGCCUUCUUCACACACGCGGCAUGGCUGGAUCAGGGUUGCCCCCAUUGUCCAAUAUUCCCCACUGCUGCCUCCCGUAGGAGUCUGGGCCGUGUCUCAGUCCCAGUGUGGCUGAUCAUCCUCUCAGACCAGCUACGGAUCGUCGCCUUGGUGAGCCGUUACCUCACCAACCAGCUAAUCCGACAUAGGCUCAUCCGAUAGCGCGAGGCCCGAAGGUCCCCCGCUUUCCCCCGUAGGGCGUAUGCGGUAUUAGCCUGGGUUUCCCCAGGUUAUCCCCCACUACCGGGCAGAUUCCUAUGCAUUACUCACCCGUCCGCCGCUCGCCACCAGGGAGCAAGCUCCCCGUGCUGCCGCUCGACUUGCAUGUGUAGCUCGCCGCCACGCGUCAUACUGAGCCGAGAGUACAAACUACUCGA